AAUAUCAUCUUGCAAACACUUUUGCUGUAAAGCCUGUAAAGUGGUCUGCCUUUCAGGAACUAACUUUUGAACUCUGGAUUGCAAUUCUUCUAACAAGUCAAGCUGUAUUUUCAUAUCGCGCUCUUGCUCCUCCUGCUCAAUAGGAAUAUCAAGUAAGCUUUGACCAGAAUUAUCAGUUGAGGAAAUGGACGAUUCUAGUAAUGCGCUAAUUUUGGAAGAGUUACACAACGUUUCUACAUCAUCUUUUACUAAAGCAUAUUGUUGGGAUAUAGCGGAAUCAGUAGCGGAAGCCUCUGCCAAGGUCUUCAAGUAAUUGUUGAGUUCACUUUGAUAAGGAGCGGCAAACUCUAAGCUAUCUGAUAACGUCCACGAGGGUCCAAGUUUCGCCUUCAUCUUGGCAUUUUCAUUGGCUUCCACUUCUAAGUCACUCUUAAUUUUCGCUAUAAUUUGCUUCAACUUUGUGGAUUUUGCAAACAACUCGUGAAUUUUAAAAGUAGGAUUAAAAGAAAUAAGUUGGGAACGAGCUUCUAUAAGUUCUUUCGGAAUAAAGUUCGUUUUGGAAUCCGAAUGUGUGAUUUCUUGAAGCCGGCUAAGGUCUAAGGAGGCGAAAACCGUUGCCAUUUGGGUGUUUUGUCGUUCUACUUCAGCUUGUUCAGCGCGAAACACUUUGGCAGUCUCCUCUGAAUACAGCGAACUGGCGGUCGUAACGGCGCUAGGCACAAAGGCCUUGAACAAAUCAUCUCCAACAAUUUUUUUUGCAGUUUCAAAUCCAUCUUGACUUCCAUACAAUUUCUCUAAAGGAAGUGGUGGUAGAGCUUGCAAAGGAGAUAUUUUUGGGAGCUCAACUUCCUUGACUACAAGAUCAUGAAACACAAAGUCAUUAUCUUUCUCAGCAGUUUUUAACAAAUGAGACAAGGAGGAUUUGAUGAAGGUAGAAAUGGUCUGAGGAUAGUCAGAAAGACUAGGCUUAUGAAUA
Molecule: non-coding RNA, 976 nt
Organism: Schizosaccharomyces pombe (fission yeast)
Lineage: Eukaryota; Fungi; Ascomycota; Schizosaccharomycetes; Schizosaccharomycetales; Schizosaccharomycetaceae
Source: the annotation of a GenBank genome assembly